RNAcentral lists this ribosomal RNA (255 nucleotides) under uncultured bacterium. Its description in RNAcentral is "partial 16S ribosomal RNA". It matches the Rfam family "Bacterial small subunit ribosomal RNA", at positions 524 to 776 of the family's 1533-position model. The record is from RNAcentral.
UACGUAGGGGGGCAAGCGUUGUCCGGAAUUAUUGGGCGUAAAGAGCGCGUAGGCGGUCCGGUAAGUCGGUUGUGAAAGUCGGGGGGCUCAACCCUCGGAUGCCGAUCGAUACUGUCGGGCUAGAGUCCGGAAGAGGCGAGUGGAAUUCCUGGUGUAGCGGUGAAAUGCGCAGAUAUCAGGAGGAACACCAAUAGCGAAGGCAGCUCGCUGGGACGUUACUGACACUGAGGCGCGAAAGCGUGGGGAGCGAACAGG